Daphnia magna is the source of this 45-nucleotide regulatory RNA element. It matches the Rfam family "Histone 3' UTR stem-loop". From Rfam's summary of the family: The mRNAs of metazoan histone genes lack a poly-A tail. 3' end processing occurs at a site between a highly conserved stem-loop (modelled by this family) and a purine rich region around 20 nts downstream (the histone downstream element, or HDE). NCBI's taxonomy places the organism in Eukaryota, Metazoa, Arthropoda, Branchiopoda, Diplostraca, Daphniidae. The record is from Rfam.
UCAUCGGCCCUUUUCAGGGCCACCACUUGUUAAAGAAAAAAGUAU